ACGGGUUCUCCUGUGCUCCCAGGCUGCGAGGCGGGGCGGUACGGAGCGAGCUGCCAGCAGCUGUGUGACUGCGAGGGACACGCACCCUGUGAUCCAGUCACUGGGCGCUGCCUGUGUCCGCCCGGGAAAACGGGCGCCCAGUGUGACGUGGCCUGCCGCCUGGAUCGCUUUGGCCCCGACUGCGCCCUGCCCUGUGACUGCGCCUCAGACAACGCUUUCUGCAACGCCCAGAACGGCCAGUGCACCUGCCUAAACGGCUACCUGGGCCCGACCUGUCGCGAAGGUGGCCCGCCUCGCCUGUUGUCCAGCGAACGACGGCGCAGCCCGCCAGACGUGGCAGCUAGAAUACCUCACCCAGUCUCUCCCAGGGGCAUUUUCCAGCCUGGGAAGCAUUAGGUCGUGCCGGCACCAUGGCUGAAGAAAAACAAGAGCAAGCUUGUAAACAAGCCCCUGGUCUUUCUGCAGAACCCGCCUUAGCUAAUUCUAACCCCAAGGCAGUUCUAUGGGCGACCAAGUACUGGGCUAGCUCCUGUCUGAAAUCCAGCCUGAAGAAAUCUGGGGCUAUCGCACGGCUCAGCUCAGCCAGGAGACCGCGAGCACGUGUGUAAAAAGGCACGCCCCUGGAUGAACUGUUGUUGGAGUCUCAUGCCCAACAAAGGACCACAGAAGCAUUUCAUUUGUACUCUAUACUAGAGAAGCAAUAGUUCAAAGGUGGUUUUUCUCCAGUGGGCAAUUACUGGAGUCUUGCAACUCGUCCUCUAAUUGUUUUUUUUUAUUGCCUGCCUGGAAUUUUAAUCAGAAUACAAUAUUUAUGUAAAGAUAUUUAUGGGAGGUGUACAAAUGUCUUUUCAUGCUCGGUAGCCAAAGAUUGGGGUGGUGCUGCAUCACUUGACUUUCAAAUUUGUGAGCACUCUUUAAUUGUCAUUUACCAUUGUCCAGGGUGCUGUAAUAAAAGAAACAUUCAAUAAGUUGGUCAUAAGAGCAUUUAAGUUCCAAAAUGUACUGUAAGUCCUGGUUCCAGAGAGGAGCAUUUGGUACUCCUGGACAACAAGGACUCUGGGAAUUGUGCAAAGUUCAUUAAAACUAACGAGACUUGACUUACACGGGACUGCUUCUUUCAGCAUCACACGAUCUAGGAAACGCAGUAGUUUGUACAUAAAAUAAAGGCUGCAGUAGCAUAGUAGAUCAGUCUUUGUAACUUCAUCUUUCAUCAAAUGAGCAACGAGUCUUUCCAAAUAAACAUCUCAAGGAGAAAUGGGUUAGUCACACCUCUGUUUGCCUGAGCAAGUUUAAUGUUAGUGAAAACAUUAUUUAUUUACAGAUGUUCUACUUUUGAAUGGAUGAUUGCUAGAACACAGUAUUAUGUUAAACCAACACGAUGUGGUACCCGGUUUGGAUUAUAAUAAAAGCUAAAGGGAA
Molecule: non-coding RNA, 1419 nt
Organism: Pelodiscus sinensis (Chinese soft-shelled turtle)
Lineage: Eukaryota; Metazoa; Chordata; Testudines; Trionychidae
Source: RefSeq, a predicted model, not a curated record